CCCAAGGACGAAGCCAUGCAUGCCCGCUCACCCGGGACGCGGCGGACGGCUCAGGACAACGGUUGCACCCCCCGCGGCGGUCCCUGCUAGCCGGACACCGCUGGCAACCCGGCGCCA
This 117-nucleotide ribosomal RNA is filed under the name Giardia duodenalis. RNAcentral describes it as "Giardia intestinalis partial 18S ribosomal RNA". The record is from RNAcentral. Lineage: Eukaryota; Fornicata; Diplomonadida; Hexamitidae.